AGGUGUGGAUAGGGGAGAAAUUCCAAUCGAACCCGGAGAUAGCUGGUUCUCCUCGAAAUAGCUUUAGGGCUAGCCUCUGGUUAGUCUGCCGCAGGUAGAGCACUGAAUUUCCUAGGGGGCGUCAAAGCCUACCGAAGAAUAUCAAACUGCGAAUGGCGGACAGAUGAUGCCAGGGAGUCAGACUGCACGAGAUAAGUUGGGUGGUCAAAAGGGAAAGAGCCCAGACCUACAGCUAAGGUCCCAAAGUGUGUGUUAAGUGGAAAAGGAUGUGGGAUUUCGAAGACAACUAGGAUGUUGGCUCAGAAGCAGCCACACAUUAAAAGAGUGCGUAAUAGCUCACUAGUCGAGAGGUCCUGCGCCGAAAAUGUCCGGGGCUAAAACACAACACCGAAGCUUAGGAAUUCUUUUGAAUUGGUAGAGGAGCAUUGAAGACGGAACGAAGCCAUACCGAAAGGAAUGGUGGACUGUCUUGAAGAGAGAAUGCCGGAAUGAGUAGCGAGAUUGAAGUGAGAAUCUUCAAGGCCGAAUAUCUAAGGUUUCCAGGGUAAAGCUGAUCUGCCCUGGGUAAGUCGGGGCCUAAGGCAAGGUCGAAAGACGUAGUCGAUGGAUAACAGGUUGAAAUUCCUGUACUGCAUCAAAUCAGAAAUGUGGGGACACAUGAGGGAAGCAUGAGCCGGAAAAGGAAAGUCCGGUACAAGCGCAGCAGAGGACAGAUAGGCAAAUCCGUCUGUCAACUCGAGGGCGCGAUGUGGAGCGAACCAAAGUAGCGAAGCAUGUGGAGCUUGUGUCGAGAAAAGCCGCUAUUGUGUUUGAUGUACCCGUACCGUAAACCGACACAGGUGGAUGAGGAGAGAAUCCUAAGGCCGGCGGGAGAAGCAUUGUUAAGGAACUCGGCAAAAUGACCCCGUAACUUCGGGAGAAGGGGUGCUCCAGAGAUGGAGCCGCAGAGAACUGGCCCAAGCAACUGUUUAGCAAAAACACAGGUCUAUGCAAAACCGAAAGGUGAGGUAUAUGGGCUGACGCCUGCCCGGUGCUGGAAGGUUAAGAGGAGAUGUUAAUCGCAAGGUGAAGCAUUGAAUUUAAGCCCCAGUAAACGGCGGCCGUAACUAUAACGGUCCUAAGGUAGCGAAAUUCCUUGUCGGGUAAGUUC
RNAcentral lists this ribosomal RNA (1150 nucleotides) under human gut metagenome. Its description in RNAcentral is "bacterial LSU rRNA". It matches the Rfam family "Bacterial large subunit ribosomal RNA", at positions 807 to 1983 of the family's 2925-position model. The record is from RNAcentral.